GAUGAACGCUAGCUACAGGCUUAACACAUGCAAGUCGAGGGGAAACGACAUCGAAAGCUUGCUUUUGAUGGGCGUCGACCGGCGCACGGGUGAGUAACGCGUAUCCAACCUGCCCACCACUUGGGGAUAACCUUGCGAAAGUAAGACUAAUACCCAAUGAUAUCUCUAGAAGACAUCUGAAGGCGAUUAACGAUUUAUUGGUGAUGGAUGGGGAUGCGUCUGAUUAGCUGGUUGGCGGGGGAACGGCCCACCAAGGCGGCGAUCAGUAGGGGUUCUGGGAGGAAGGUCCCCCACAUUGGAACUGAGACACGGUCCAAACUCCUACGGGAGGCAGCAGUGAGGAAUAUUGGUCAAUGGGCGAGAGCCUGAACCAGCCAAGUAGCGUGCAGGAUGACGGCCCUAUGGGUUGUAAACUGCUUUUAUAAGGGAAUAAAGUGAGUCUCGUGAGACUUUUUGCAUGUACCUUAUGAAUAAGGACCGGCUAAUUCCGUGCCAGCCGCCGCGGUAA
RNAcentral lists this ribosomal RNA (508 nucleotides) under uncultured bacterium. RNAcentral describes it as "partial 16S ribosomal RNA". It matches the Rfam family "Bacterial small subunit ribosomal RNA", at positions 28 to 523 of the family's 1533-position model. The record is from RNAcentral.